UUUCCAGGAACAUGCUGUGAGCUGGGCUGAUCCAUUUUGUUUCUCUGGAAAAACUUCCUGCCUAGCGAGCUCAGUUCUGUCCAGCUCUCAAGCUGCCACUUCUGGCUAACCCUCCCAGUCUCCAGCAGAGGCCCUCUCCUCUUUGUCAUCCACAGUGCAGGGUCCAAUCCUAUCCCCAACUCUCCCUUCUCUGCACAAACUCCUUCCCCUCCAGUAAACUAUUCAAACCUCAUUUGUUAGCUUAUUUAUCAAGUAAAUAUGUGGGGCACAAAAUAAAACAUCUGGCAGUGACUUACCUAGAGUAUCAGUGACUGUGCUGAAAUUACUCUCAAAAGGAAAUACAUGUUCCCCUGAAGAAAUGUUCCAAUGUAGGAUGCAAAGUAUCUUUGCAAAAAAUUAAGCUUAACCACAAGUACCUACGCCCUGGGCUAUUCAGACAUGAAUCAAUACCAGCAGUACCAAGGCACUUAUUUGCAUAAAUGUUUAAUCAAGAGCGAUGCACAAUGUUAUUUAUCUGGAAUUUCUUGCAAAAUAAGGGAGAAUAGAUGGUCAAAGCAAGACUAAUGUAUCUCUAUUGGGCUUUUAAAUCAGUGCUAACAUAAUUAAACAUUUAUAUAGCACUUUGGGUUUGGGAAAGUUUUAUACUUUGUUUUCAAAGUUAUAUUUCUCAGAACUCUUUUGAAAUAGGUAUAUCCCACUUGGUAUCUUCUUUUUGCACAUAAAGAUAAUUUAUAAGCCAGAGAGCAAAAAUAACUUUCCCUGGGUCACUCAACAAUUCACAAGAGCUAGAAUUGUAAUUCAUCAGUUAGUCCCACUCUACACCUAAAACACAAUCAGGCAUGAUCUAAGCAAUCCUUUUGUGGGCAAGAAAGGGCAUUGAAAAUGAGCGAGUGACCUUCACCUGUGACCGUUAUUACAAAUUGCAGCAGGUGUGGGCCAGAAAGAUAAAUAUGUUUUGUUUACUUAUUGAGCAGUGCGUUUUAUUAAGACUGGCUUGGUAAUUCGUCAACACUAUCCUGCGAAGUAAACAGACUCAAGCAGCUGAAGCUGAACUACACACUGCACGUUCCACGAAGUGGUGAGCAGCUUGAAGAGGCGCAGGAGUUAGUCCGCGUUCCGAAGUGGCUGAGCACUAUGGAUCACUCCAGCUAGCCAUUUUUGACAGGCCCAUUUCCUCACCUACCACAUAGGAAGUUUGGACAAGUCUUGUCUAUAGGUUCUUCAAAUCUAAAUCUCUAUGGGGAGGAGGAUGUCACCAAGAUGAUGACAUAAGAGGCUCCUGAAUUUCCCUCCUCCCACAGACCCACUGAAUAUACAGCCGCACAUGGAUCACUUCUCUCUGAGAGAGUUCCAAAAAUUAGUUAAGUGACUCCUACGCAUCGGGCAAUGAGAAGAUUCCUACAUCUAAACAGGUGGGAAAGCCUAAGAUGCACUCUUGCCAUCCACCUCACGCUGGCACAGCACCAUUCAAUAUGGAGGGAACUCCAACUCCCAGCUCCUCCCUGAAGACCAAAGGAGUUGGUAAAAGGGAACAAAGUUUCAGUUAUAAUAUGAAUAAGGUUCGAGGAUCUAAGGUAUAACAAUGUAACGAUAGUUGAUAAUACUGUAUUGAAUAAUUGAAAUUUGCUAACAAAGUAGAACUUUUGUUCUCACCAAAAAAAACUAAGGUAAAUAUGUGACAGAUGGAUGUGUUAAUUAAGUCAAUUGUGGAACCCUUUCACAAUGUCCAUGUAUAUCAAAUCAUCAUGUUGUACACUUUAAAUAUAAUUUUAUUUGUCAAUUGUACCUCAAUAAAGCUGGAAAAACUAGAGAUAUAAAAAAACAAAUCUACAUGGGAAAAAAUACUCUGUAUAAACAGCUUAACUUCUUGACAAGACUGAAGGCAGUCAAACUUUACAUUUCUUUGAGGUUAAAAACUUGUAUUUCCUUUCCAUGAGAGCCCUGGUGGAGCUAGCUUAAUGACAUAUGGGACAAAUACACCUAAAUCUGAUUGUUGGUACCCCCAAGAAUAAAAUUCCAGAAGCAAUACGUGGGAAGCUUUUUAGACAAGGGUAUACUUCAGCUGAACUUCAGCAAUACAGGAAUUUGGAAGCCAACACAAUUUAAGGCAGAAUUCCUGGGAGACUCCUGCACCAGCGACACUGCUGUCUUUGGUAUGUUAUUAGGGAGAUGAAGCACUUACUGGUUUAGUUCUGAGCGAGAUGAGUGACCUUUUGCUUCCAUCAGGGCAGUGGGUUUGCUAUAAAUCCCUAAGUGUUAAAUUCUGGGAACCUAGAGAUAAGCAGCUGCUGAGGGCUUUCCAUUCUCUCCUGUUAUCUUAAGACACCCACAGCACAUAGUACAAAACAUUGCCCCUUGAAGAAACCUUUAAAGCCCCUGAACUCAUUUGGGGCAUCCCUGAUGCACGAUUUUCAUAGAUGGAUAGAACUGGAGGGGCCCUCAAGAGCUCAUCCUAUUCAACUCCUGACCUC
RNAcentral lists this long non-coding RNA (2471 nucleotides) under Equus caballus (horse). Its description in RNAcentral is "lncRNA (ENSECAG00000055891.1)". Lineage: Eukaryota; Metazoa; Chordata; Mammalia; Perissodactyla; Equidae. The record is from RNAcentral.